CAAAAAUCACCCAGGCAUGGUCUUCUGACAGUGCCAAAUGUACAUCGUUAAAGCCAAGCACUUGGCAACCAGCAACCACAGCAAGGGCGACACCAAAACAAUCCAAUUUGUUUCCUAGGGGAAAAAAGUGUAUCCAAAUUGAUUACAUCUGAAACUCUUUUUACAAGUUCACGUGUUGCAAACUCUGGACAGCCAUACUGUGUCACAUCCACUGAACUUUUGAUGACUGCCCUGAAUUUUACAUACAGUGCUUCCACUAUGGGCCAUUCAAUUUCUGGAAAAUCAUCUUCUUUUCUAACUGGUGGUAUUGCGAGAGGUUUUUCACUGGUUUCAUCAACAGUUGUCGUUAAAACAGUCGAUUUGGCGCCACUAAGAAUUUGUUGAUUGCAGGUAAGAGUAUUUUCAAUGCACCCAACGAUAAUCGAUAACAAGGCUAAAUCUGGUUCGGUAGUUCUUUUUAAAAUACUUUCAAAUAGUGAUACGACUGACGUAACGGUUUUCAAGGGAAAUAAUCUCUUCUCUUCCUCUGAGAGAGCGUCCAUAUUUCUUUUUCCCAUGCCUUGUUGUUGAUUUGUUGUGAAUGCGCCCGUCCGUCCAUACAUGCGGCCUACAUUGAUUGCAGUAGUCGGUCUACAGCCCAUUCGCCAUACUGUAGGGUUGUUCGUCCACGAACUAGCGCAUCUAGCGGCAUAAUUGGGUGGUAAAUAGUUUACAGCUACGUAGGUUAGUUAAUCGUUUGAGAGGCAUGGGGAAAAUAGGUUAACUUUGCGCGAUUCUGCCACUAGAUGAGCUAUCGGCUGUUCCUUCCCCAGAAAACACCACACGCUAUGUCAAAAACGCGCGAUAAGCUUUAGGCCAGCCGUGUCAAUGAAGUAUGCCAUUCCACGGACCGUUCCACUUUAAUCUAAGUACUGCGCUUAUAACUUUCAUAUGCCCAUCCAGAUCCGUACUUUCACCUUUCGGUUUCAUUUUUUAAGAACGCCCAUACCCGUGUACUAAAUUCCUUGACUAAACCUAGGUAUAGUGCCUCAAGCGCAGCACGUUUUACAUACACAUUCACUCUAUAUGUUAACGGGUACUCAUGGAGUACACGACCAAUUAAAAUUCCGGUUUGCAUUAAAAAUAGAAAGACAAAGCAAAACAAAUUCAAUGUCUGAAAUGAAAAGAUACAUCAUUUGAUUAUAUGCUGUUAUUCGUGACCAAUGUUCCUAGAGUUGCAAAUAGUUUAAUAUAUUGAAACUCUAUAACCAAAUACAAGUAUGGCUAUACAACAAGCUUAAAGGAUACCGCACACAUAUGGUAGCUGAUAUCGAAAAAGAUCUGCGGCCCCGAAGGUGCUUUUUGAAAUGAUCUACUUAUCGAUCAUCAAUCGAAGAAUUUAUAGGGAUCAGACGGACUCCUUUACUACAAUAGUAUCACCGUCUUCAAUAGAAUAAAAUGACAAGGGUCGAAGGUCGUUAUCAAGUGGAAUACAUAAGCCUGGAUUCUGUAUUGCAAAUUUGGAAAUUUUAUUUCGAAUGAUUUUUAAAAGAUGCAAAAAGAAACACGAUACCUUGGGGCCGUAAGAGAAAAAUGUGAGUUCAGAGCUAUGAAGAUUAAAGAGCCUGUGGAUUAAAACUUUCAGUUUCUGAACCUCCAUGGUUACAGGGAGUUUUUUUGAAAUUUGGUUUGACCCCCAUUCCAAACGCAGCACUGAAAGUUAUGGAUUAUUCGUCUGUAUAUAUAUGAAUAUUUUUAUUUAACGAAAUACUCACUAAUUAGUGCAUUCUUUAAAGUAGUUGGUUUUGUUUCGUAUUCGCCUUGUUCAGGUGGUCCAUACUCUGGAAGAAUAAAAAAGCACAUCAAAGAAAUUUAAAUUAGGUUAGGAAGUUAGAGAAGCUCAAAAAGCUCAAAAA
This 1895-nucleotide long non-coding RNA is filed under the name Daphnia magna. Its description in RNAcentral is "uncharacterized LOC123470553". The record is from RNAcentral. Lineage: Eukaryota; Metazoa; Arthropoda; Branchiopoda; Diplostraca; Daphniidae.